GUUGAACGCUGGCGGCAUGCUUUACACAUGCAAGUCGAACGGCAGCGCGGGCUUCGGCCUGGCGGCGAGUGGCGAACGGGUGAGUAAUACAUCGGAACGUGCCCAGUAGUGGGGGAUAGCUCGGCGAAAGCCGGAUAAAUACCGCAUACGACCUGAGGGUGAAAGCGGGGGAUCUUCGGACCUCGCGCUAUUGGAGCGGCCGAUGGCAGAUUAGCUAGUUGGUGGGGUAAAGGCCUACCAAGGGGACGAUCUGUAGCUGGUCUGAGAGGACGACCAGCCACACUGGGACUGAGACACGGCCCAGACUCCUACGGGAGGCAGCAGUGGGGAAUUUUGGACAAUGGGCGAAAGCCUGAUCCAGCAAUGCCGCGUGUGUGAUGAAGGCCUUCGGGUUGUAAAGCACUUUUGGCGGGAACGAAAAGGACUGUGCCAAUACCACGGUUCGAUGACGGUACCCGCAGAAUAAGCACCGGCUAACUACGU
This 483-nucleotide ribosomal RNA is filed under the name uncultured bacterium. RNAcentral's name for it is "partial 16S ribosomal RNA". It matches the Rfam family "Bacterial small subunit ribosomal RNA", at positions 28 to 506 of the family's 1533-position model. The record is from RNAcentral.